UUUAUAUUCCGUUUUUUCCUAUAUUCUUUUGUCUUUCUGAUUUUCAUGUUUGUGAUUUCGAGUUCGGAUGACGGGGUUAAAUUUUGUUAGGGCUUUUUUGGAUUCUCUGGAAAAUUGUUUUCUGCUAGAUCCGUGAGGAAAGAACUCUAGAGUUGGCGGUGAAAUCAAAUUUUGUAGAUUCGAUUCUGCAGGCUGCAUCCUUUUCCUGAAAUCAAAUUUCGAUCGAGCCUUGAUUCAGUAUCUCCAUCUAUCAUCGAUUAUCUUAUCACCAUCUUCGCAGACCCAUCGAUUCAGUGCUUGUUUGUGGAAAUGGUGGUCAAUGUUCCAUUUCGACAUUGGGUUUGUGUUAAAAACCCAUGGCACGAAUCUCCAAGGAGAGCUCUCUAUUACCUAGAAACUAUUGUAGGCCAGCAAGUAAUUAUUGCAGUUGCAAUACGUGUCGGAGGAAAUCAAUUAGUUUACCAGCCAUUUGGCGAUUUCGUGCAAGAUUAUCGGAAUAUUUUACCCUUAGGCCAUGUUUUCAUGUGAAAUUAUAGCUUUCAGCUAAAUGCAUGGUUGGACGACAUUGUCUACCAUUCGUUUGUUCGCUGCAGCAACGAAGGUAUUACCAAACCAUGGGAUAUUAUUCUAUUUGUUUCAUCGCACUAUCCACCAUAUAGCCCUCCGUUUUCAUGUGUUCACUUCUGUUUAAGUUCUACAUUUUGUA
This is a long non-coding RNA of Rhododendron vialii, 706 nucleotides long. RefSeq lists it as uncharacterized. Lineage: Eukaryota; Viridiplantae; Streptophyta; Magnoliopsida; Ericales; Ericaceae. The record is from RefSeq and is a predicted model, not a curated record. The transcript is spliced from 3 exons.